This is a long non-coding RNA of Camelus dromedarius (Arabian camel), 1303 nucleotides long. RefSeq lists it as uncharacterized. The transcript has 2 exons. NCBI's taxonomy places the organism in Eukaryota, Metazoa, Chordata, Mammalia, Artiodactyla, Camelidae. The record is from RefSeq and is a predicted model, not a curated record.
AGCGGAAGAGUUUAGGCGGAGCUCUGCAGAAGCAGGAGGCAUUCUGAGUCAGAUGAUUCUUUGAAAAUAGCUCAUUUGGGAAGUUACUAGCCUGAAGUCCUGGAGGGGAGGGCCUAACUGUGAACACUGAGAGCCACUGCCAUCUCACUAGCCACCUGCAAUCCUGGCACCGAGACCAAAAGGCAAUCUCAAUGAGAGCAGAGGCCUGCCUUCAGCUUUGCAGGCUUAGAAAAAUUAUCCAGCAUUUUCCUCACUUGCUUCCAAUUUCAGUCUUUCGGUCUGUCUUUGGGUUCAGGAAAUGAAACAAGGGACAUAAAGAUGGUGAAAAAGUGGGCUACCAAGAAAAGAACAGUAAUAGGGGAGGUUUGGGGUGAGAGCAAAAGGACUGUAGAUGUGUAAAUCAUUUUAACUUACUUGUAUUUUCUUCUGUUUUCUAUCAUCAGAUCACAGGUUUGCUGGGUCGUAGAGUCUGGACUGGUGUUGCUGGCUGGAACCACUGAAGCGCCUAGUCCCACAGACUCUUGAGUAGUGAAGCCAGUGUGGCCAGAGACCCCUGUUCUCCCCAAGUUACAGCUGUGGUGCUGUCCUGUGGGCUAGGUCCUUCCACCAGCUGAUUUUACCCCAGGGACCAAGUUCAUUGCCGUGUAUCAUGUAGCUUUGGGCUCACUGCCUGCCUUGGAUUUGCCCCUGACCUUUACCCCCGCAAACAAUGGCAUCCCAGAAAAUCCAGCUGCUGUUUUGAGCUCUCAAGACAUCUGACACUGAUCUUCAGGAGGUGACGGGAAAACAGAAGAGAUGCAGAGUGGUGUGAGGGGGUACAGAUGAAGGCGCUGACAUCUGAGGGCGAGGAUUUCCUAGCAUUGCUCCAUGUCUCUUGAGUCACCCGCCAAACACAGGAGAAGCGUGAGUAAGAAGUUUUAACUCUGAUUUGGCUUUCAUGUAAGCGUGAGAAGGUCACUCAGCUGUGGCUCAGCCUUAAGAACAUAGACAUUUUAAUCCAUAUAAAAUUCUUUAGCUUCCUACCUUUUUAAGGAUAAGGACCUCUUGUUAAAAUUUAACCCCUACCUGGCAGAUGUGCUAUAUGAUACCAGUCUCAAUGAUUUGGCAGGUCUCAGCUUACGAAGAAUUGUCAAGAGACACUGCAGACGUCCACCCGUCCCCAUUUUCACAGGGAUUUUGUGAGGAUAAAUAAAACAAGAGAGUAUAUAUAAAAAUAUUUUUCCCAUAAAAAGUUGCUAUGUGGAUAUUGCAGUUCUAUAAAAAAGUACUAUUGGAAAUUACAACAUAUCAGAAAAAUCAGUAA